AAAAAUAAACAGUAUCAUUGUAUACAUUUCCUAGUAUAAGUUUGAUUUUUUACAUAAAGUUGCAAACUUUUUUCAUUCUUGAAAGUGUGCUUCUACGUUAAAUAAUCAAAGUAAGGCACACAUUCAAACUCUAUUGAAAGAUGCAGUUCUGACGUUGGAAUCUUACAAUGACUUGAAAAAUCUACUUUUAUUCUUAUUUAUGAAAUUUAAAGCUUGAAAAUGGUACCGAGUAAAUCUAUAAACUCAUGAAAAUCUUGAAAACGACAAUCUACAAAUUGUGUUAUGAGAUGCAUUAUUUUUAAGAUUUGAAAUCUUUCUUUUUCUUUUCUUCAUAACCACAUAACUUGCGGUUGAGAUGAUCAAUUAAAGGGCAUUCUAGCUUCAAAACAACCUUUUCUCAGGGGUUUUUGAAGAGGGCAUUCUUCUACAGUAUAAGUUUGAUACUUUUUAUUGGGAAUGGGGUU
This 464-nucleotide long non-coding RNA is filed under the name Amborella trichopoda. RNAcentral's name for it is "long non-coding RNA (ATRI_LNC000913)". Lineage: Eukaryota; Viridiplantae; Streptophyta; Magnoliopsida; Amborellales; Amborellaceae. The record is from RNAcentral.